Molecule: ribosomal RNA, 236 nt
Filed under: uncultured bacterium
Lineage: Bacteria
Description: partial 16S ribosomal RNA
Rfam family: Bacterial small subunit ribosomal RNA
Source: RNAcentral
CGGGACGGGUGAGUAACGCGUGGGUAACCUGCCUUGUACUGGGGGACAACAGUUAGAAAUGACUGCUAAUACCGCAUAAGCGCACAGUAUCGCAUGAUACAGUGUGAAAAACUCCGGUGGUACAAGAUGGACCCGCGUCUGAUUAGCUAGUUGGUAAGGUAAGGGCUUACCAAGGCGACGAUCAGUAGCCGACCUGAGAGGGUGACCGGCCACAUUGGGACUGAGACACGGCCCAA